GAUGAACGCUGGCGGCGUGCCUAAUACAUGCAAGUCGAGCGAACAGACGAGGAGCUUGCUCCUCUGACGUUAGCGGCGGACGGGUGAGUAACACGUGGAUAACCUACCUAUAAGACUGGGAUAACUUCGGGAAACCGGAGCUAAUACCGGAUAAUAUAUUGAACCGCAUGGUUCAAUAGUGAAAGACGGUCUUGCUGUCACUUAUAGAUGGAUCCGCGCCGCAUUAGCUAGUUGGUAAGGUAACGGCUUACCAAGGCGACGAUGCAUAGCCGACCUGAGAGGGUGAUCGGCCACACUGGAACUGAGACACGGUCCAGACUCCUACGGGAGGCAGCAGUAGGGAAUCUUCCGCAAUGGGCGAAAGCCUGACGGAGCAACGCCGCGUGAGUGAUGAAGGUCUUCGGAUCGUAAAACUCUGUUAUUAGGGAAGAACAAAUGUGUAAGUAACUAUGCACGUCUUGACGGUACCUAAUCAGAAAGCCACGGCUAACUACGUG
Molecule: ribosomal RNA, 497 nt
Filed under: uncultured bacterium
Lineage: Bacteria
Description: partial 16S ribosomal RNA
Rfam family: Bacterial small subunit ribosomal RNA
Source: RNAcentral